Non-coding RNA from Triticum aestivum (bread wheat), 126 nucleotides. Lineage: Eukaryota; Viridiplantae; Streptophyta; Magnoliopsida; Poales; Poaceae. The record is from Rfam.
UGAGUACUCCCUCCGCCCGAAAAAGCCUGUCCCAAGCUUGUUUUUGAAAUGGAUGUAUCUAGCUUUACCUUGGUGCUAGAUACAUUCAUUUGAGGGACAAGCUUUUUCUGACAGAGGGAGUAUUCA